Molecule: long non-coding RNA, 2738 nt
Filed under: Homo sapiens (human)
Lineage: Eukaryota; Metazoa; Chordata; Mammalia; Primates; Hominidae
Description: HSALNT0003903
Rfam family: Small nucleolar RNA SNORA44 (bases 1573-1704)
Source: RNAcentral
UUCGCCGUGUUAGCCAGGAUGGUCUCGAUCUCCUGACCUCGUGAUCCACCCGCCUUGGCCUCCCAAAGUGCUGGGAUUACAGGCGUGAGUAACCGCACCCGGCAGUAGUACCUACUUUUUAAAGUGUAAGCAAGGAAAGUUGGCCCGCACCUGUAGUCCCAUCUACCUGGGAGGCUGAGGUGGAAGAAUUGCUUGAGCCCAGUUGGUCGAGGCUGCAAUGAGCCUUGAUCACGCCACUGCACUCCAGCCUGGGCAACAGAACAAGACCCUGUCUCAAACAAAAAAGUGUAUGUAAGAAUAAAAAUUAAUAGAUUAGGCACAGGAUGGGUGUUUAAUUCUCGGCAAUCACCACUAAGUUUUCAUACUGAGGCUUAUUCAUUCCAUGGGCAAAACAUUGCGCUAUGUGUGGUGCCUGGGGUGGGCUCCAAAUUCCAGUCCUCUCCUCGCUUGCGAUAGCUGUGUGAUCCAUUCCUAAGUUUCCUUAUUUGUCCACAGAGCGUACACAGGGUUUUUAUGAAAACUAGAUCAGAUAAUCAGACACAGUUAAAAUAGCACGCGCUCAGUAAAAUUACAUAUUAGUGGAAGAGACAAGCCUUGAAUAAAUCGCCUUUCGGGGAGUAUGACCCCCUCCCCGAAACCCACUCAGGCGCUGCUCGCUCGCACGCCCACUGAGCUCGGAGCGGAGCCCGAGCCCUUUCCCAGCACACAGGGUUCAUUUCCAGACUGAAAGACAUCCCAGAGACAACUCCAGAGGCCAAGGCGGGUCGGCUUCCUGCGUGGGCCCAGCGCCGGGCACUGAAAGGUGAAGGCGCUUCUUCCGCUCGGAGGAAAGCCUCUGGCGGUUCUCGCUUCGCGGGCUCGGGAUGGACACGCGCGUAGGGCUGGGGAGGUGACGCGCGGACAACGCCGGGGCGAGCAAACUACAACUCCCAGGCAGCUGUGCGCCACGCGGGCGGCCUACUGUCGGGUGUGGCCGCGAGGGGCGGCCUAUAUAAGCUCUUGCUCGCGGCUUCAGCGCCCUUUCUCCCCGCCGCAUUCCCGGUGUCGACUUACUAGCUGCAAGCCUCUGCCUGCCUUCCUGCGCGCCGUUCCCCGCUAGUCGCUGCUGCUGGCGCGCACUCGCCGGGUUUUUCCUCCCACGGCCUCGAGAUGGUGGUGAAUGUGGCACGGAGGAGCCGGGCCUUCCAACCCGGUGGGCCCGAGCUCCGAAAGGCCCCCUCGGCAGUGAGAGGGGCGGGAGCCCGCGGGGGCCGCGCCCUUCUCUCGCUUCGGACUGCGCAACGCUGCGCUCUGGGCUGACAGGCGGAUAAAACGGUCCCAUCAAGACUGAGAAAAAGCACACCAGCUAUUGGCACAGCGUGGGCAGUGGGGCCUACAGGAUGACUGACUUAGUCUACAGAGAUCCCGGCGUACUUAAGCAGGUAGUAAUGAUGGACAGAUGAAGACUCUUAAGAUGACAGAAGGUGAUUUUUCUGGUGAUCGAGGACUUCCGGGGUAAUGACAGUGAUGAAAUGCAGGGGACCUGGUAGGUUUCUUUUGGAGACUAACUGGGGGCUGCCUGGUGGGACAGAACAGCAUGUUUCCAAGGGCUGUGGCUGGUCAUAGCCAUGGGAUCUCCAACUGCAUGCAAGAGCAACCUGGAAAGACUUUGACAGCGCAGGUCAGUACAAUACCUGCAAGCUGCCACUCAGCUUUCCUAUAAUGUUUCAGGACCAGGGCUGGAAGCCUUCCAUGUGUCAACUUCAAUGUAGAUGGGUUUUUUUUUUUUUUUUUUUUUGAGACGGAGUCUUGCUCUGUCACCCAGGCUGCUGGAGUGCAGUGGCAUGAUCUCGGCUCAUGGCAACCUCUGCCUCCUGGGUUCAAGCGACUCUCCUACCUCAUCCUCCCGAGUAGCUGGGAUUACAGGUGCCCACCAUCACACCCAGCUAAUUUUCUUGUAUUUUUAGUAGAGAUGGUUUUCACCAUGUUGGCUAGAUGGGUCUCGAACUUCUGACCUCGGGUGAUCCGCCCGACUCGGCCUCCCCUUCCAAAGUGCUGGGAUUACAGGCAUGAGCCACCGCUCCUGGCCAGUUUAGUUUUCACGCUAAGCUUUUUGUUCUGCAGGUUGCCCCCAAGUUUCCUGGCAGUGUGUGAUACUGAGGAGGUGAGCUUGUUUCUGGAGCUGUGCUUUAAGGUAAAGUUGAUCAGCUUAAUCCUCCUGAUCCCUUUCCCAUCGGAUCUGAACACUGGUCUUGGUGGUCGUAAAAGGAGGAAAAGUAAUAGUGAAGCUGGCCUAAAUGUUGUAAUCUGGUAUAUGGCAUGUGGGCUAGUUUCAGACAGGUUUCAGAGAUGGUUGGAUCUCUGAAAUUGUAAAAUGAAGUAUAAUCUUAGGCUAAGGGAAGGAUGCGUGUGAAGCUCUGGAGGUUGGUAUAGUAAUAGCUGACCUAUUACUGCAUUUGGGAGGGAUCUGUCAUAGCUUCCUUGCCUCUUAAUUAAGGGUGGUGUUUUUUUCUUUUAGAUUCAUGUUACAUGUAAAGCUGUCCUCAUUUGUGACUAUGGACCUAUGGAGUUGGGACAAUCUCUAUGGGAAGCAGAAGGCAAGGACCCCGGUCAUUUUAGGUAGAAACAACAGCAUGCUAAUGCAAAAAAUUAUGCAGUGUGCUACUGAACUUCAGAGGUGAUCAAUAAAAGAAGAAUAAAAAGACUAAUAAAAGUAUAUUUGUGUUUGUAUUUUUUUGUAGAGACCGAACUGGUCUCUU